This is a non-coding RNA of Pelobates cultripes (western spadefoot toad), 227 nucleotides long. Lineage: Eukaryota; Metazoa; Chordata; Amphibia; Anura; Pelobatidae. The record is from the annotation of a GenBank genome assembly.
CUGUAUAUACAUUAUGCAUGUUUUAAUGUUAUGAUUUAAUCCUCGACUGUGCUAUGGAUGUUCAUUGUGUGUUUUCUUUGUCAAUACAUAUUAUCAAAUUUAACAUUAUUCAUGCAAAAAUAUAAAUACAAGCAAUAAUUUGAACAAUUGACAGUCCAAGGACAAUUUCUUUCAUGGCUUUCUAAGUUCGGCUUCUAAUAUAUCUUCCCAGUCCUCUUUAUUCAUUG